Molecule: ribosomal RNA, 466 nt
Filed under: uncultured bacterium
Lineage: Bacteria
Description: bacterial SSU rRNA
Rfam family: Bacterial small subunit ribosomal RNA
Source: RNAcentral
GAUUAUGGCUCAGAACGAACGCUGGCGGCAGGCCUAACACAUGCAAGUCGAACGAUAAGCCACCUCGGGUGGUGGACAGUGGCAGACGGGUGAGUAACGCGUGGGAACGUGCCUUUCGGUUCGGAAUAACCCAGGGAAACUUGGGCUAAUACCGGAUACGCCCUUCGGGGGAAAGAUUCAUUGCCGAAAGAUCGGCCCGCGUCGGAUUAGCUAGUUGGUGGGGUAAUGGCUCACCAAGGCGACGAUCCGUAGCUGGUCUGAGAGGAUGACCAGCCACACUGGGACUGAGACACGGCCCAGACUCCUACGGGAGGCAGCAGUGGGGAAUAUUGGACAAUGGGCGCAAGCCUGAUCCAGCCAUGCCGCGUGGGUGAAGAAGGCCUUAGGGUUGUAAACCCCUUUCAGCGGGGAAGAUAAUGACGGUACCCGCAGAAGAAGUCCCGGCUAACUCCGUGCCAGCAGCAGC